This 253-nucleotide ribosomal RNA is filed under the name uncultured bacterium. RNAcentral describes it as "partial 16S ribosomal RNA". It matches the Rfam family "Bacterial small subunit ribosomal RNA", at positions 524 to 776 of the family's 1533-position model. The record is from RNAcentral.
UACGGGGGGGGCAAGCGUUGUUCGGAAUUACUGGGCGGAAAGGGCUCGUAGGCGGCCAACUAAGCCGGACGUGAAAUCCCCAGGCUCAACCUGGGAACUGCGUCCGAUACUGGAUGGCUUGAAUCCGGGAGAGGGAUGCAGAAUUCCAGGUGUAGCGGUGAAAUGCGUAGAUAUCUGGAGGAAUACCGGUGGCGAAGGCGGCAUCCUGGACCGGCAUUGACGCUGAGGAGCGAAAGCCAGGGGAGCAAACGGG